UCCGUCUUAAGUGUAGGAAGAGCAGCCCCUUAAAUAGGCAAAUACAGUCACUUGUUGGGACAGAUUUUGGUUCACCAAAAAUCUGUCCAAAAGACUGACUUUGUAUGCUAAACACUGUUCAAAAUCUGUCCAAAAGAUGAAAGGGCAGUCUGAAAAUCUGCUAUGUCAGAAGCAAGGAGAAAAAAUAUCAUUUCAGCCACCCUACUAGUAGAAAGUAAGCUACUAGUACCUUAUUUUAUGAUAAAACCCAUCUAAACUUCAGAUUUUAACAACAUCAAUACCACUAUAUUGAUUUUGAACCAAAUCAAACUCAAACAACUAAAAACAAUUGACAAAACAGAAACAAGACUUCAAAUGGAACUAAAACUCAAACUAACUAGAUUAAAACAAUUGAUUUGUGCAAACUAACCAUAGAACAAACAACUGAAUUCACAAACUAAUGCUCAAAACAGAAAUUAGACGAGCAUCGCUAACAAUCGGACGACUACAUUCAACAACUAAAUAAUCGAUUAACUAAGUAAAUGAUUGAACUAAUACAUUAAAGAUCACAUUUAAUCAAUAACAAUCCAACUAACAACUAAACUAAAUAGAGAUAACUAAUUAAAUAAACCUAACUUGAAACUCUAAUUAACAAGAAAUAACCAAAACAGAAAAAUCAAAAAUUAGAAAACAAAAUUAAAAUCAGGAACUAAACUAUUACUACUAAAAAAAUUAGAAAUUAAGUAAAAAGUUGACGGUUAUACCUAACGAGCGUGCUUGAAGCUGUUCGGGCCACGAGAAGAUGCCAGAGAUGCUAAAAUGCGACUGCUGACUCCGAAAUGCAUAUUCCUUUCAGGUAGAUGCUAGAACGAAAUGAGUUUCAGCAUCUCGCCAAAAGAAACGAGUGUCUUUGAGUCAAAAAAUAGCUAAGAUGGGGGUUCGGGGCAUUUUGGUGGUGGUGAGGCAGUGGAGGCGCGACGACGGUGAGGGUAGCUGGCCGGCGGCGACGGGAAUUUUGGGGGUGAAAUGGGUAGGAAAAGAUAGGUCGCGCGGAGCUCUAUCUAUUCAUGUAUGUGUUGUAGGGUGGUGUUAGCCGGAGCUUCAAGAAUUUGGGCCAAAAAGUGACUGCUAAAGUUUCCUAGAUUUAAAAUUCAAGGAGUUUGAGAGGGUUUUGAAGGAAUUGGUUUGGAGAUAUGGAAAGAGGAGGUUAUGGAGAUUACAUGAUGUGAAUUUGGAGGUGUUUGGAGGUGGUCCGCCGCCGGUAGGUGAUUUCCGGCGGCGGCGAAAAGAGAGAGAAGAGAGAAAGAGUUAUGAGGGAAAUGAGGGAAUUUUUU
RNAcentral lists this long non-coding RNA (1313 nucleotides) under Nicotiana tabacum (common tobacco). Its description in RNAcentral is "long non-coding RNA (NTAB_LNC005866)". Lineage: Eukaryota; Viridiplantae; Streptophyta; Magnoliopsida; Solanales; Solanaceae. The record is from RNAcentral.